This 1026-nucleotide ribosomal RNA is filed under the name feces metagenome. RNAcentral's name for it is "bacterial LSU rRNA". It matches the Rfam family "Bacterial large subunit ribosomal RNA", at positions 1904 to 2925 of the family's 2925-position model. The record is from RNAcentral.
GCUCUUGAUUGAAGUCCCAGUAAACGGCGGCCGUAACUAUAACGGUCCUAAGGUAGCGAAAUUCCUUGUCGGGUAAGUUCCGACCUGCACGAAUGGCGUAACGAUGGCCACACUGUCUCCUCCCGAGACUCAGCGAAGUUGAAAUGUUUGUGAUGAUGCAAUCUACCCGCGGCUAGACGGAAAGACCCCAUGAACCUUUACUGUAGCUUUGCAUUGGACUUUGAACCAAUCUGUGUAGGAUAGGUGGGAGGCUUUGAAGCGGGGACGCCAGUUCUCGUGGAGCCAUCCUUGAAAUACCACCCUGGUUUGUUUGAGGUUCUAACCUUGGUCCGUUAUCCGGAUCGGGGACAGUGCAUGGUAGGCAGUUUGACUGGGGCGGUCUCCUCCUAAAGUGUAACGGAGGAGUUCGAAGGUACGCUAGGUACGGUCGGACAUCGUGCUAAUAGUGCAAUGGCAUAAGCGUGCUUAACUGCGAGACCGACAAGUCGAGCAGGUACGAAAGUAGGACAUAGUGAUCCGGUGGUUCUGUAUGGAAGGGCCAUCGCUCAACGGAUAAAAGGUACUCUGGGGAUAACAGGCUGAUUCCUCCCAAGAGUUCAUAUCGACGGGGGAGUUUGGCACCUCGAUGUCGGCUCAUCACAUCCUGGGGCUGUAGCCGGUCCCAAGGGUAUGGCUGUUCGCCAUUUAAAGUGGUACGUGAGCUGGGUUUAAAACGUCGUGAGACAGUUUGGUCCCUAUCUGCCGUGGGCGUUGGAAAUUUGAAGGGGGCUGCUCCUAGUACGAGAGGACCGGAGUGGACGAACCUCUGGUGUACCGGUUGUCACGCCAGUGGCAUUGCCGGGUAGCUAAGUUCGGAAGAGAUAACCGCUGAAAGCAUCUAAGCGGGAAACUUGCCUUGAGAUGAGAUUUCCCGGAGCCUUGAGCUCCUUGAAGGGUCGUUCGAGACCAGGACGUUGAUAGGCUGGGUGUGGAAGUGCAGUAAUGCAUUAAGCUAACCAGUACUAAUUGCCCGUACGGCUUGUCCCU